Molecule: ribosomal RNA, 440 nt
Filed under: uncultured bacterium
Lineage: Bacteria
Description: partial 16S ribosomal RNA
Rfam family: Bacterial small subunit ribosomal RNA
Source: RNAcentral
CCUACGGGUGGCAGCAGUAGGGAAUAUUGCUCAAUGGGGGAAACUCUGACGCAGCAACGCCGCGUGGAGGAUGAAGGUUUUCGGAUUGUAAAACCCUUUUGUUAGAGAAGAAAAAGACGGUAUCUAACGAAUAAGCACCGGCUAACGCCGUGCCAGCAGCCGCGGUAAUACGGCGGGUGCACGCGUUACUCGGAAUCAAUGGGCGUAACGAGCGCGUAGGCGGGUGCGCAAGUAAGAUGUGAAUUCCUAUGGCUUAACCAUAGAGGUGCAUUUGAAACUGGUAUUCUAGAGUAUGGGAGAGGUAAGUGGAAUUCUUGGUGUAGGGGUGAAAUGCGUAGAGAUAAAGAGGAAUACUAGUUGCGAAGGCGACCCGCUGGAACGUAACUGACGCUGAGGCUCGAAAGCGUGGGGAGCAAACAGGAUUAGAUACCCGGGUAGUC